This 294-nucleotide ribosomal RNA is filed under the name uncultured bacterium. Its description in RNAcentral is "partial 16S ribosomal RNA". It matches the Rfam family "Bacterial small subunit ribosomal RNA", at positions 775 to 1067 of the family's 1533-position model. The record is from RNAcentral.
GGAUUAGAUACCCUGGUAGUCCACGCCGUAAACGAUGUGUGCUAGUUGUCAGGUCUUAGGGCUUGGUGACGGAGCGAAAGUUUUAAGCACACCGCCUGGGGAGUACGGCCGCAAGGCUAAAACUCAAAGGAAUUGACGGGGACCCGCACAAGCGGUGGAGCAUGUUCAUUAAUUCGAAGCAACGCGAAGAACCUUACCUACACUUGACAUCCUUCUUGGGGUUUUCAGAGAUGAUUACCUUCGGUUCGGCCGGGGAAGUGACAGGUGCUGCAUGGCUGUCGUCAGCUCGUGUUG